Long non-coding RNA from Rosa chinensis, 1111 nucleotides. RefSeq lists it as uncharacterized. NCBI's taxonomy places the organism in Eukaryota, Viridiplantae, Streptophyta, Magnoliopsida, Rosales, Rosaceae. The transcript is spliced from 3 exons. The record is from RefSeq and is a predicted model, not a curated record.
UUCACUAAAUAAGAUUCUAAGAAUAAGGGAGGGUACAAUAUUGGAAUACAGAAGAGAGGAGACGAAGGCAAUAGAAGAUGCUACAAUAUUGGAAUAGAAAGAACUAAAGAAGAAGAUGGGAAGUUGGUCUGAGUUUUGAUAAGUACUGGACUCACCGUUUUUGUGGGAAGGAAUGGGAUGAGCACGAACAAGGUGACACUCAGUUGUUGGAUUUUGAUCUAAGGAAGAAAAGCGCGAAUCUGGGCAUUUCGUUUUCGUUUUUUUUUUUUUUUUGGUUAAUUGGUAAUCUCUUUAUUCAAAGCACGAUCUGCUGCAUGAAUGGCUCUUCUUCUCUGAAUUUCUUGACUGCCAAUUCUAAUCCCCUUAACGGAGUGGCGGCGGCUAUGUGGCUUAUGCUCAAGUGAACUCAAGAUUGCGACCUGAUCAGUAGUGCACCUGAUGUGGAAAGAAAGAAGGUCGGCUGGAACAACUUUCUCAAGGAAUCUGAAAAAUUUCUCAUAUGAUGUUCAUGUCGUAUCUCUUCGGAAUUAUUUUGCAUUCGCCCCUUUACGACCAAGUGUUACCUGUGGAACUGUGGAGCCUUUGGAGCAUUGUUGAACCAAUUCGUAACAUAGUCAGAAAGUGACGGAGAAAUUCAAGGAGGUGAAUGAUACUUUCAAUCACGCAAGCAUGUUUGAAGUGGACCGACUUGAUGCUAUUCUUCUCAUCGAAAUUGGAUUGAUACAAGAUGAUGCUGGAUAUGCAGAUGGAGUCAGCUAGAGUUUAAAAUCGCCGCAGGAAAUUCAGUAUAUACUGUCGUUAUGUCCCUGAAGUUUAUUUAACUUUUCAAACAUAGUCGUUUAAAUGGAUUUAGAUAUACGGGAAGAAAGCAUAGCAUCGAGUAAUUUACUCCUCUAAACUUCUAACUUGAUUACUGUUGGUAUUAAAGUAUGAAAAAGUGAAGAAGAAUGCUCAGCCUGUAUUCCUUUUUUAAUUUGGUUUCGUUUCUUUUCAAUUUUGUUUUGAAUUGGUUUGGCUAUUUGGAUUCUUACUGUUCUGAAACUGUGAACUUCAUUUGAUUUUUGUUGUUAGUUUAAUUAGAAAUAAAGCAAUUGAUAAUUGUUAAAUGACU